This is a long non-coding RNA of Sander lucioperca (pikeperch), 349 nucleotides long. RefSeq lists it as uncharacterized. The transcript is spliced from 3 exons. The record is from RefSeq and is a predicted model, not a curated record. NCBI's taxonomy places the organism in Eukaryota, Metazoa, Chordata, Actinopteri, Perciformes, Percidae.
GCUCUCCAGUUAGCUCUUUUCACCUUCAGCUCCCAUACUUUUCGCCUUUUUGGUUCACAGGGGAACUUGUGAAAUAUUUUGCCGCUUCCCUGUCUUUCAGUGCAGCCAAAUGUGCAACAGUUGGGCAUUUCUUUCGUGAUUUAUGCCAUUUUUUAAAUAAUUUAUUACAUUUUUCCACUGUUCCCUGCACUGUCAAUGGGAAUCAGAUGAAUGUUGGUAUCCAACAUGGAGUCCAUGAAACAUGUGACCACCUCGGAACCAAUCGCAUAACGGGAUAGCUCAGAACAUUCGAUUCCCUAGUUGGCCAAACUCUCUAUAUAAAUGGAGCUACUUCCACAUUGAUUAAGCA